GAACCAAAAACUGGAACGAUGGAGCUCUACAUAUUCCUUCUACUAACAGGUAUUUAAAUCGUUUACGUUGUGAGGAUAUUUCAGCCAGUCAGUAUGCUCAUAUCAUAGUGUGUAACUAUGAAAAGUAUUUUCAUACUUAAGACAAUUUGACCAGGUGCUCCAGCAUCCAUGGACUGUUUGAGAGCUGAUAAGCAGAUGUUUCAUGGUUAGAGUUUAGUUGUGGUAGUUGGUGUCGGGUGAGAAAAUAAAUAUGCUAAUAAGAGAGAAAGAAUGUAAGUCACAUGAGAGAAAUAAAGAGUAAUGUUAAUUAGGUGAAACAUUCUGACAAAACUUUAAAAAUAUUAGCCUGUACUGAUUUGAAAGUCACUUAUGAUCUUGUGCCAUUUUUCUCUGCAGGACUGGUUGGAACAGCAUAUACUGGCAAUGGUAACAUCCAGACUCCAAUCAUUCACAAUCCAGAAACACUGUUUAAAUUGAUGUGCAUUUUUACUAGACUAUUGUAAUACGAGAUACAAAGUCCAUUCACAGCAGCAUCCAUUUCAAUAAAUUGACUUUUGAUCAUGUAAUACCAUCGACCAAUAACAUUUUUCUCCUUUAAAGACGCAACCACAAACGGCAUUGAAUCCUCAACUGUGAGACAAAACUACAAUGACACCUCACCAACCCAACAAGCAAUCAGCACUGAACCCUCACCCACGACACCAAACAACAACAACAUUGUCUCGUCAAACACACCACCAAUCGACACUGGAACCUCACGUGUGACGUCAAACAACAACAUUGUCUCGUCGAACACACCACCAAUCGACACUGGAACCUCAAGUGUGACGUCAAACAACAACAUUGUCUCGACGAACACACCACCAAUCGACACUGGAACCUCACGUGUGACGUCAAACAACAACAUUGUCUCGUCGAACACACCACCAAUCGACACUGGAACCUCAAGUGUGACGUCAAACAACAACAUUGUCUCGUCGAACACACCACCAAUCGACACUGGAACCUCACGUGUGACGUCAAACAACAACAUUGUCUCGUCGAACACACCACCAAUCGACACUGGAACCUCACGUGUGACGUCAAACAACAACAUUGUCUCGUCGAACACACCACCAAUCGACACUGGAACCUCACGUGUGACGUCAAACAACAACAUUGUCUCGUCGAACACACCACCAAUCGACACUGGAACCUCACGUGUGACGUCAAACAACAACAUUGUCUCGUCGAACACACCACCAAUCGACACUGGAACCUCACGUGUGACGUCAAACAACAACAUUGUCUCGUCGAACACACCACCAAUCGACACUGGAACCUCACGUGUGACGUCAAACAACAACAUUGUCUCGUCGAACACACCACCAAUCGACACUGGAACCUCACGUGUGACGUCAAACAACAACAUUGUCUCGUCGAACACACCACCAAUCGACACUGGAACCUCACGUGUGACGUCAAACAACAACAUUGUCUCGUCGAACACACCACCAAUCGACACUGGAACCUCACGUGUGACGUCAAACAACAACAUUGUCUCGUCGAACACACCACCAAUCGACACUGGAACCUCACGUGUGACGUCAAACAACAACAUUGUCUCGUCGAACACACCACCAAUCGACACUGGAACCUCACGUGUGACGUCAAACAACAACAUUGUCUCGUCGAACACACCACCAAUCGACACUGGAACCUCACGUGUGACGUCAAACAACAACAUUGUCUCGUCGAACACACCACCAAUCGACACUGGAACCUCACGUGUGACGUCAAACAACAACAUUGUCUCGUCGAACACACCAACAAUCGACACUGGAACCUCACGUGUGACGUCAAACAACAACAUUGUCUCGUCGAACACACCACCAAUCGACACUGGAACCUCACGUGUGACGUCAAACAACAACAUUGUCUCGUCGAACACACCACCAAUCGACACUGGAACCUCACGUGUGACGUCAAACAACAAUGGAACGUCAACACAGCCACCCAUAUCAUCAACAGGUACAACAACUGGAACAUCAGCUACAGUUAAUAUAACUGCUGCAACCCCAAUAACCACCGUUGCCACCACAACAACCACCGCUGCCACCACAACAACCACCGCUGCCACCACAACAACCACAACAGCUGCACCGCCGAAACCCGAAGUUCGGCUGAGUUUCAAAAUAACAGAAACUUAUACAAAAGAGCUUGAUGACAAAUCGUCACCUAAAUUUCUGAGUCUAAAACAGGACACAGCCAAAGCGCUUGAUGGGGUCUAUAAAGUUAGAUUUGGACCUUCCUUCAAUCACACAGAAGUCAACGGCUUCAGUCCAGGGUCCAUUAACGUUGACGCUUCUCUGAUAUUCAACAACGUGUCCAAUCUAUCGAAUGACACUUCUGCAGCUGCAGCUACGGCUUUAGUAGAGGCUGUUUCCAGCUCAAAUUUUUCUUUGUCUAUAAACUCAUCAUCAAUUACUGCAGCUGUUUUUACACCUACUUUACCUCCAGUCACGACAACAACAACAACAACAACAGGUAUCAUCAACAUAAACAGUCCAUGAAACAUUAACUCUGCUCAGUUUGAUGGUUUAAAUACUGAAUUAGGUGUAAUUAACUUCACAUUUUGUGUUUUGAUGUCACAAUGACCAGAUUUCUAUUAUCACGUGAUUUACAUAUGUUAGAGGAAAUCUAAAUAAAUUUGCACCUUGCAGCAACGACCAACUCCACCGCCCAGCCGCCGCCACCUACCAACUCCACCACACAGCCGCCUCCACCCACCAACUCCACCACACAGCCGCCUCCACCCAUCAACUCCACCACACAGCCAUCGCCACCCACCAACUCAACCACCCAGCCGUCGCCACCCACCAACUCAACCACCCAGCCGCCUCCACCCACCAACUCCACCACACAGCCGCCUCCACCCACCAACUCCACCACACAGCCGCUUCCACCCACCAACUCCACCACACAGCCGCUUCCACCCACCAACUCCACCACACAGCCGCUUCCACCCACCAACUCCACCACACAGCCGCUUCCACCCACCAACUCAACCACACAGCCGCUAUCCACCAUACCAACACCAACAACUGUCACCACGGUUUUACUACACCCACUACCCCCCCAGCAACUACAACAGCUCCGACCGUGGGGACAGUGUUUCGUUUGUUUUUUAGUCUACAGCAACAAUUUUCAUCAGCGCUUUCAACCCAAGGUUCACCAGAGUUCACCCAACUAAAGAGUAACAUAGAGUCACAGCUUACUCCAGUCUAUGCACUAAAGUAUGGAAGACUCUUCGUUCGAUUCAUUGUCUUUGGCUUCAGUCCAGGAUCUGUUGUGGUAAACUCUACUGUGGAACUCAACGAUACCACGACAAAUGCCACUGAUGUAGCUACAACUUUACAGGCUGCUGUUACCAGCGGGAAUCUUACCCUCAAUAUCAGCGCAUCAUCUAUAAAUGCAACUUUUGUCCCAGCUCCACCAGCUACAACUACAACUACACCAGUGGUGAUUACAUCUGCAUUCCCAGGCAACUCAACCGUACAGCCGCCAACAACAGCGGCCAACGUCACCUCGCCGCCGCCAACAACGGCCAACGUCACCUCGCUGCCGCCAACAACGGCCAACGUCACCUCGCUGCCGCCAACAGCGGCCAACGUCACCUCGCUGCCGCCAACAGCGGCCAACGUCAGCACGGCGGCGCCGACGACAGCGGCCAACGUCAGCACGCCGGCGCCGACGACAGCGGCCAACGUCACCUCACCAACACCAACAAAUGUCACCACGGUUACUACCCCCACUACCCCCCCAGCAACUACAACAGCUCCGACCGUGGGGAGAGUGUUUCUUUUGUUUUUUAGUCUACAGCAACAAUUUUCAUCAGCGCUUUCGACCCAAGGUUCACCAGAGUUCACCCAACUAAAGAGUAACAUAGAGUCACAGCUUACUCCAGUCUAUGCACGAAAGUAUGGAAGACUCUUCGUUCGAUUCUUUGUCUUUGCCUUCAGUUCAGGAUCUGUUGUGGUAAACUCUACUGUGGAACUCAACGAUACCACGACAAAUGCCACUGAUGUGGCUGCAACUUUACAGGCUGCUGUUACCAGCGGGAAUCUUACCCUCAAUAUCAGCGCGUCAUCUAUAAAUGCAACUCUUGUCUUAACUACAACUACAACUGCACCAGUGGUGACUACAACUGCAUUGCCAGGCACCUCCACUACACUGGCGAGUGCCACGACGCCCACCGCCACCACAACCACCACCGCACCGGCGAGUGCCACGACAUCCACCACCACUGCUGCUUCAACUGUAGCUUCCACAACAACACCUGCUCCCACCACCACCACCCCCAAUACAAAUGCUCCUUCACCCAGUGAAGGAUUCCUUUUCUUUAAAUUUAGCCUCAACCAAAUCUUCACCUCAGACCUGGCUGAUAAUACCUCAGCUGGUUAUCAGGCCCUGGCUGGAAAAGUGGUCACAGAGUUAAACAGAGUGGGACAACUGCUGUACCCAUCUUUCCGUCGCUCCCGGGUUAAUUACUUCCUGAGUGGAUCAGUAGUAGGCAACACAACUCUUGUCUUUGACAAUCAGUCCUCAACUCCUGCUGCAAGCAACGCGUCUAAUGCUUUUGCUCAACAACUUUUGAACAGCACCGUCUUGAACUUCAUCCCAGGCAGCUUCUCUGCAAAUUCAUCAAGCAGCCUUUGGUCCACUUUUGGUUCAUUGUUGGCCCUCUGUCUAACACUAUUCACUAUGGGACAGCUGCUGACGGACUUCUAAUCAGUGGCCAAGGAAACUGACUGACUAAAUACACUGGUGAAAGCUACUGACCAAGUGUGGGAGGACAUGCCCAGUAACCAAAAUCAAGUUUGCACUAUGAAAUUUACCAGUUCAAUACAUUGUGGUAAAUAGAUGUGCCAAGAGUCCCACACUAAGACAUUUACUCAGGGUUUUAAGAUCUAAAUUUCUCUUAGACACUUGCCUUUUAAUAAGUACAUAUAAUGGUAAUGAAGAAUAUGUUAUCUAAAUGCCUAAUAUUUUGUUUUUCAUUGGCAUUAAUAUUUAAAAAUAUAAGGACAUGAUUAUAAAAACAUGAUAAGUAUUUAUAUAUUUACACAGUUUGGCAGCAUCCACUUUACAUCCACAAACACAGUUGCUGUUUGGUAAAAUGCAUAUAAAAAAACAAUUACAGUUUGCUGCAAUUAAUCACGUUUCACAGAAUCAUCUGAGAUCUAAACACGAGGCAGUUGAUCUGCCUUUUAUUGAGAUGCUGACUGCUAUUAUCAUACUGUCAAAUAAGAGUACGAUGAUACAACAAAUUGUUGAUUUUAAUAUAUUUGAUGAAAGUCCUAAAUGUAUUGUAUGUUGUUUGAAAAGGGAAAUGAAACAAAUGUCAAUCAGAAAAUUAUUAAAAUGUUUACCCAUAAAAUAGCUUUGUUGGGUUUUUACUACCUACAUUUCCAAGGCUUUAUUUGACUUUUUUUUUAAUAAAGAUUAAUAGAGUAAUAGGGUGGGGUAUUCU
RNAcentral lists this long non-coding RNA (5512 nucleotides) under Betta splendens (Siamese fighting fish). RNAcentral describes it as "lncRNA (ENSBSLG00000015006.1)". Lineage: Eukaryota; Metazoa; Chordata; Actinopteri; Anabantiformes; Osphronemidae. The record is from RNAcentral.